This 497-nucleotide ribosomal RNA is filed under the name uncultured bacterium. RNAcentral describes it as "partial 16S ribosomal RNA". It matches the Rfam family "Bacterial small subunit ribosomal RNA", at positions 29 to 507 of the family's 1533-position model. The record is from RNAcentral.
CAUGAACGCUGGCGGCGUGCCUAAUACAUGCAAGUCGAGCGAACGGACGAGAAGCUUGCUUCUCUGAUGUUAGCGGCGGACGGGUGAGUAACACGUGGAUAACCUACCUAUAAGACUGGGAUAACUUCGGGAAACCGGAGCUAAUACCAGAUAAUAUUUUGAACCGCAUGAUUCAAAAGUGAAAGACGGUCUUGCUGUCACUUAUAGAUGGAUCCGCGCUGCAUUAGCUAGUUGGUAAGGUAACGGCUUACCAAGGCGACGAUGCGUAGCCGACCUGAGAGGGUGAUCAGCCACACUGGAACUGAGACACGGUCCAGACUCCUACGGGAGGCAGCAGUAGGGAAUCUUCCGCAAUGGGCGAAAGCCUGACGGAGCAACGCCGCGUGAGUGAUGAAGGUCUUCGGAUCGUAAAGCUCUGUUAUUAGGGAAGAACAUAUGUGUAAGUAACUGUGCACAUCUUGACGGUACCUAAUCAGAAAGCCACGGCUAACUACGUG